AAGUCGUAACAAGGUUUCCGUAGGUGAACCUGCGGAAGGAUCAUUAUCGAAUUGUAAGGACUUCAGUUGUCGCUGGCUCUCUCUGGGAGCAUGUGCACGCUGGGUUCAAACUCUUCAACUUUAACCUCCUGUGCACCUUUUGUGGACUGUGGUCAGAUAACUCGUCGAGGUCACACUCGGUCUUGCAGGUUGCGCCUCACCCGCGCUCUCUGCUGCAUCUGACUGCGGUUCAUGUCUUACUACAAACUAUGAAUUAAAUCUAGAAUGUCUAAAGGUUGGGACUCGCGCCCUUCUUAAAUGUAAAUACAACUUUCAACAACGGAUCUCUUGGCUCUC
RNAcentral lists this unclassified non-coding RNA (336 nucleotides) under fungal sp. Its description in RNAcentral is "partial internal transcribed spacer region". The stretch from base 1 to 46 matches the Rfam family "Eukaryotic small subunit ribosomal RNA", at positions 1786 to 1831 of the family's 1831-position model. The record is from RNAcentral. Lineage: Eukaryota; Fungi.